This is a non-coding RNA of Pogona vitticeps (central bearded dragon), 1645 nucleotides long. NCBI's taxonomy places the organism in Eukaryota, Metazoa, Chordata, Lepidosauria, Squamata, Agamidae. The record is from RefSeq and is a predicted model, not a curated record.
UUUGCAUCGUUUGAGACGCAGAUGCCAACGGGAAGUGGACGGCAGUCUGGGUCCUUAUUCUAAGCGGUGCCCUUUGCAUGAAAAGCCUGGACAACCAUCUCCACUCUAUCCCCACUUCAUUGGCUCAGCUGUUCGCAUAUGUCUUUCACCUGCUUUCUUCACAACCUAUGCCUGCCCCUGCCUCUGUGACAUCACAAAGGUCGUUCCCUAUGACAGAGACUCUGCUGGGCCUUGGCCCUGAAGUUUCAGGUAAUGGGAUGCUGCUAAUGUGGUCACCCUACUCAGCCUGCCAGAUGCUGACGCCUGCCUGCCCCUGAUUUCCUCACUGUAAAAGAAUGAAGUGGGAGACAAAGAGGGAGAAGAGGCAGGGGCUGCCAUGAUGGCUGCUGCUGCAACAUAUCUGCUACCACCCAAGGCUGGAUCUCCUGGCAUGGAAAUAAAUGACUGCAGAGAUGGCUACCCUCAAGCUGCUCUCUCAUGAUGACCGGAAUACUGAGGUCUCCUCCUUGUUUACAUUGAGGUAUAUAUUGGUGGACCUUCCCAGCAUCCUUCAAGGAAGACAAGAGAAAGGGACUCAUAAACAAACAGAAGAAAGUAAAAAAGUUAACAGCAAAUAUGGAAGAAGAGACAGUUCAGUAGUAGUGACCUGCAAAGUGUGUGCCAUGUUUGUGUUUGUGCCCGAGAACAACAUAGCAUACCUGUUCAGCAGGUGCAAACUGGUAACACUGUUUCAGGAAAAAUGAAAAAACUGGAGGAGCAGGUGGCCAGGCUUAAGGCUAUAGGAGGAGAUGAAGGAUACAUAGACAGAACUCUUGAGCAGAAGCAGCGGUCAUGGGAGAGACAGAAGGUAGAAGAACAGCAAUACAAAGCAGAGGAUCAGAAUGCUGAGAACAAGCAUAAUGGAGGAAGCACCAUGGAAAAGAGUCACAGUUAGGAGCAAAAGAAGAAGAUCCUCACCAGUGGCAUUGCAAAACUGCAUUCAGUUUCUUGAAGAUGAGUCUGGCAGGCAGCAUGUACAGGAAGACAUAUAGGAGACUCCAUGAGAAAGGCUGAAACUCAGCCAAGAUUAACUCACACCCUAUAAAAAGAAGAAAAAAGUAGUUGUAGUAGGAGACUCCCUACUGCAUGGGAUUGAAAUUGAAAAAUGCCAGGAACAUCCAAGGACCCACCAGAUAUGCUAUCUUCUUGAAGGAUGGAUUAGAGGUGUAAUGGAAGGAUUGCUACCACUCAUAAAACCCACAGAUGUGUAUCACUUUCUUCUCAUCCAUGGGGGGGGGAGAGAGACAGCCAAGAGGAGUCAUGAAGAAAUCACAUCAGACUUUGAAGCUUUGGGAAGGAGAGUCUGUCAUCCAUCCUGCCAGUACUCAGAAGAGCAAUAGAAAAAGAAAGGAAAAUACUCAAGGUGGAUGAUUGGCAAUGAAGGCGAUGCCAGUGUGAGGGAUUUGAAUUUUGAGACCAAGGGCUAUGCUUCCUGGAAGAUGGACUGAUACCCCACAAGCACUGGGAAGAAUGUGUUUGGUCACAGUAUAAAGAACACCACCAUGGGGGCUUUAAAUUGAACUGGAAGGGUAAGGGAGACUCAAGCUCAGAGGUAAAGACAGAUGAAGACUUGUGCACCAUAAGAGAAACAGACCAAGCAGCUUUC